This 464-nucleotide ribosomal RNA is filed under the name Pichia kudriavzevii. RNAcentral's name for it is "eukaryotic LSU rRNA". It matches the Rfam family "Eukaryotic large subunit ribosomal RNA", at positions 129 to 634 of the family's 3401-position model. The record is from RNAcentral. Lineage: Eukaryota; Fungi; Ascomycota; Pichiomycetes; Pichiales; Pichiaceae.
CUUUGCGGCACGAGUUGUAGAUUGCAGGUUGGAGUCUGUGUGGAAGGCGGUGUCCAAGUCCCUUGGAACAGGGCGCCCAGGAGGGUGAGAGCCCCGUGGGAUGCCGGCGGAAGCAGUGAGGCCCUUCUGACGAGUCGAGUUGUUUGGGAAUGCAGCUCCAAGCGGGUGGUAAAUUCCAUCUAAGGCUAAAUACUGGCGAGAGACCGAUAGCGAACAAGUACUGUGAAGGAAAGAUGAAAAGCACUUUGAAAAGAGAGUGAAACAGCACGUGAAAUUGUUGAAAGGGAAGGGUAUUGCGCCCGACAUGGGGAUUGCGCACCGCUGCCUCUCGUGGGCGGCGCUCUGGGCUUUCCCUGGGCCAGCAUCGGUUCUUGCUGCAGGAGAAGGGGUUCUGGAACGUGGCUCUUCGGAGUGUUAUAGCCAGGGCCAGAUGCUGCGUGCGGGGACCGAGGACUGCGGCCGUG